GAUGAACGCUGGCGGCGUGCUUAACACAUGCAAGUCGAACGGAAAGGCCGAAGCUUGCUUCGGUACUCGAGUGGCGAACGGGUGAGUAACACGUGGGUGAUCUGCCCUGUACUUCGGGAUAAGCUUGGGAAACUGGGUCUAAUACCGGAUAUGACGAUCUCUUGGAUGGGGUUGUGGAAAGCUUUUGCGGUAUGGGAUGAGCUCGCGGCCUAUCAGCUUGUUGGUGGGGUAAUGGCCUACCAAGGCGUCGACGGGUAGCCGGCCUGAGAGGGUGUACGGCCACAUUGGGACUGAGAUACGGCCCAGACUCCUACGGGAGGCAGCAGGGGGGAAUAUUGCACAAUGGGCGAAAGCCUGAGGCAGCGACGCCGCGUGGGGGAUGACGGCCUUCGGGUUGUAAACUCCUUUCGCAAUCGACGAAGCCUUGUGGUGACGGUAGGUUGAGAAGAAGCACCGGCUAACUACGUG
This 468-nucleotide ribosomal RNA is filed under the name uncultured bacterium. Its description in RNAcentral is "partial 16S ribosomal RNA". It matches the Rfam family "Bacterial small subunit ribosomal RNA", at positions 28 to 507 of the family's 1533-position model. The record is from RNAcentral.